GAUAUAAUGCCCUUUUUACCUGUUUUGAAAUUGGACUAUAUGCUGAAUUUGAAAACUACGCAAAUUUUUAAGCUUUGGGUAGACUGUGUCGCAUUCCCAUAAGACAGCCAUGAACAAACAGUGUACCUAAGAUUAUGAUUGCGAAGAAGCAACCCAGAGUGAAGUUGUCAAAUGAUGGUUGAUGUUGGUCAAUCAGAUCUGCGAGAGAAAAAAAGAUCUUCAAGGGAAGAAAAUGUUUAAGAGAAAAAAAAUCAAGUUUCCAGAUUGUACCACAACCAUUGUUUACAAAAGGAGCAACAAACUUCC
Molecule: long non-coding RNA, 306 nt
Filed under: Gallus gallus (chicken)
Lineage: Eukaryota; Metazoa; Chordata; Aves; Galliformes; Phasianidae
Description: lncRNA (ENSGALG00010013966.1)
Source: RNAcentral